AGUAACGCGUGGGUAACCUGCCUCAUACAGGGGGAUAACAGUUAGAAAUGGCUGCUAAUACCGCAUAAGCGCACAGUACUGCAUGGUACAGUGUGAAAAACUCUGGUGGUAUGAGAUGGACCCGCGUCUGAUUAGCUAGUUGGUGAGGUAAGGGCUCACCAAGGCAACGAUCAGUAGCCGACCUGAGAGGGUGAACGGCCACAUUGGGACUGAGACACGGCCCAAACUCCUACGGGAGGCAGCAG
This 245-nucleotide ribosomal RNA is filed under the name uncultured bacterium. RNAcentral's name for it is "partial 16S ribosomal RNA". It matches the Rfam family "Bacterial small subunit ribosomal RNA", at positions 109 to 354 of the family's 1533-position model. The record is from RNAcentral.